Molecule: long non-coding RNA, 514 nt
Organism: Cyanistes caeruleus (blue tit)
Lineage: Eukaryota; Metazoa; Chordata; Aves; Passeriformes; Paridae
Source: Ensembl
UGGAGCUUUGUUAAUUUUUUUCCCCAACUCCUCCAUCACUGGCCAAGGUACCUCAGCCUCACUCUCCAGGCAGUGCAGAUCACCCAGCUGAGGAUUCCUGCAGGGAACAUCUUUGAAUCUCAGAAGAUUAUGAUACAUUUUUGCUUUUAUUUUUCUACUACACACUUAUUUUUUCCCCCAGAUCUGAUGGGACUGCUACAAAGACCCAAACUUUCAAACCCCUGUGCCCAUAACCAUGGCUGUAAGGCAUCUGUUGUUGGUGUCACCACUGGUCUGUGAGGUCACAGGUGCCUUCAAAUUUGGGAUGUCCCAAGGGCUUCAGCCCAGAGUGAAUGUUCCAGCUGAAGAGCAAGCAAACUUUGCUCCAAAAACUUUUCAAGACAAACCCCAGGGAUGUUCUCUGGCUGUGUUAGGAGUGUACAGCCUAGAGAACAGGAAAUAUAGCUUGUAUUUUUCUAUACAAAUAACCCUGCAGGAUAUUGAGGAAGGCAAUUCAACUUGCACUUAUUCCUGA